RNAcentral lists this ribosomal RNA (446 nucleotides) under uncultured bacterium. RNAcentral's name for it is "bacterial SSU rRNA". It matches the Rfam family "Bacterial small subunit ribosomal RNA", at positions 329 to 792 of the family's 1533-position model. The record is from RNAcentral.
GACCAGACUCCUACGGGAGGCAGCAGUGGGGAAUAUUGCACAAUGGGGGGAACCCUGAUGCAGCGACGCCGCGUGAGCGAUGAAGUAUUUCGGUAUGUAAAGCUCUAUCAGCAGGGAAGAAAAUGACGGUACCUGACUAAGAAGCCCCGGCUAACUACGUGCCAGCAGCCGCGGUAAUACGUAGGGGGCAAGCGUUAUCCGGAUUUACUGGGUGUAAAGGGGGCGCAGACGGCGAUGCAAGCCAGGAGUGAAAGCCCGGGGCCCAACCCCGGGACUGCUCUUGGAACUGCGUGGCUGGAGUGCAGGAGGGGCAGGCGGAAUUCCUGGUGUAGCGGUGAAAUGCGUAGAUAUCAGGAGGAACACCGGUGGCGAAGGCGACUUUCUGGACGAUAACUGACGUUGAGGCACGAAAGUGUGGGGAGCAAACAGGAUUAGAUACCCGGGUA